RNAcentral lists this ribosomal RNA (426 nucleotides) under uncultured bacterium. RNAcentral's name for it is "bacterial SSU rRNA". It matches the Rfam family "Bacterial small subunit ribosomal RNA", at positions 356 to 773 of the family's 1533-position model. The record is from RNAcentral.
GGGGAAUUUUGCGCAAUGGGGGAAACCCUGACGCAGCAACGCCGCGUGGGUGAUGAAGGCCUUCGGGUCGUAAAGCUCUGUCUGGAGGGAAGAAAUGAUUGGGAGCUAAUACCUCUUGAUCUUGACGGUACCUCUGAAGGAAGCACCGGCUAACUCCGUGCCAGCAGCCGCGGUAAUACGGAGGGUGCAAGCGUUGUUCGGAAUUAUUGGGCGUAAAGCGCGUGUAGGCGGUCUUUUAAGUCUGAUGUGAAAGCCCCGGGCUCAACCUGGGAAGUGCAUUGGAAACUAGGAGGCUUGAGUACGGGAGAGGAGAGUGGAAUUCCUAGUGUAGGAGUGAAAUCCGUAGAUAUUAGGAGGAACACCGGUGGCGAAGGCAGCCCCCUGGGCCGAUACUGACGCUCAUGCACGAAAGCGUGGGGAGCAAAC